Molecule: ribosomal RNA, 253 nt
Filed under: uncultured bacterium
Lineage: Bacteria
Description: partial 16S ribosomal RNA
Rfam family: Bacterial small subunit ribosomal RNA
Source: RNAcentral
UACGGAGGGGGCGAGCGUUAUUCGGAAUUAUUGGGCGUAAAGGGCGCGUAGGCGGCUUCAUAAGUCAAAGGUGAAAUCCCUCGGCUCAACUGAGGAACUGCCUUUGAAACUGUGGAGCUUGAGGCCGGGAGGGGGUAGCGGAAUUCCCAGUGUAGCGGUGAAAUGCGUAGAUAUUGGGAGGAACACCAGUGGCGAAGGCGGCUACCCGGACCGGAACUGACGCUGAUGCGCGAAAGCGUGGGUAGCAAACAGG